This 111-nucleotide transfer RNA is filed under the name Arabidopsis thaliana (thale cress). RNAcentral's name for it is "transfer RNA-Cys". The stretch from base 1 to 71 matches the Rfam family "tRNA". From Rfam's summary of the family: Transfer RNA (tRNA) molecules are approximately 80 nucleotides in length. RNAcentral also lists the same sequence under 1 other name. Lineage: Eukaryota; Viridiplantae; Streptophyta; Magnoliopsida; Brassicales; Brassicaceae. The record is from RNAcentral.
GGCUAGGUAACAUAAUGGAAAUGUAUCGGACUGCAAAUCCUGUAAUGACGGUUCGACUCCGUCCUUGGCCUACACCUUCAUGACCAGAAAUAACUGGAACAAAGGGAAAGC